CCUACGGGGGGCUGCAGUGGGGAAUAUUGGGCAAUGGAGGAAACUCUGACCCAGCAACGCCGCGUGAAUGAUGAAGGUCUUCGGAUUGUAAAGUUCUUUUCUAAGGGAAGAAGAAAGUGACGGUACCUUAGGAAUAAGCCUCGGCUAACUACGUGCCAGCAGCCGCGGUAAUACGUAGGAGGCGAGCGUUAUCCGGAAUGACUGGGCGUAAAGGGUGCGUAGGUGGUUUGGCAAGUUAGUAGCGUAACUCCAAGGCUCAACCUUGGAACUACUACUAAAACUGUUGGACUUGAGUGCAGGAGGGGCAACCGGAAUUCCUAGUGUAGCGGUGGAAUGCGUAGAUAUAAGGAAGAACACCAGUGGCGAAGGCGGAUUACUGGACGAUAACUGACGGUGAGGCGCGAAAGCGUGGGGAGCAAACAGGAUUAGAUACCCUUGUAGUC
This 443-nucleotide ribosomal RNA is filed under the name uncultured bacterium. Its description in RNAcentral is "partial 16S ribosomal RNA". It matches the Rfam family "Bacterial small subunit ribosomal RNA", at positions 338 to 795 of the family's 1533-position model. The record is from RNAcentral.